AUCACUACACCACUUCCCGCCUUCCAUUUACAUCAUCAUCACAUCUACCAUCUAUAAAAUACCUUAAUUAUUAAAAAAAGAAUACAUUAUUAAUCUUUAAACGAAAAGGUGUUUUAUCGUGACAUGUGCGAAAUAAAAUGUGUUGAAAAAAAUAAUAAAUAUUAAAAAAGUAAUUCGAAAAUAAAAGUGGAAAUAAAUAGAAUUAUAAUUACAUUUCUAGUUGAAAACAUAAAGUUUGAAUUUGGAAUGUGGUAGCGGCAGAGGCGCCAAACCUUUUCCGUGCUGUGUACGUUACGUAACGGUUCCGGACAAAAUCGAUAUUGUGAGCGUAUAAAUAGCGGUCCGCGAUUGAGAACAGCUGGCUAGUCGCCAGCCAUGCAGCCUACGAGGAUGCGCCGGCCCCGGCGGCACCGCUGGCUGACCCUGUCAGUGUUCUUCGUGGCGUAUUCGGUGUUCCAGGCUGUGUUCAGCCCCAGCUCGACAGCCUCCACCGUAGGCCCCUCCACCGACGUCGACGAGCCCUCGUCCCAGAGAGAUAACCCGAUUACGAUCCCUGAGAAAGAUGAGAAAGAUAUCAGCACAACGCCACUGUCAAUGGCGGAGAAUGAGUAUAGCACGAGAAGCGGUAAGAAGGCCAUGAAGGGACUAGUCGAUGAAGAAGAAGAAGAAGAUGAAAGCGAGAAGAAGAAACAAAAAGAUGCCGGAUAUGUAGAGGAGGGGGAGUUCGAUGACACGCCACCGACUGUCCACCCCCUCAGGAACUGUACUCCGCCAGCCAUUGAACAGUUCCCUCGUCCCCUGAUGGGCCAGUACGCGCGGCGUCACGGAGGACUGAUCAUCCACGUCCUCGUGUGUGUGUUCACCUUCAUUGGCCUAGCCAUCGUGUGUGACGAGUACUUCGUCUCCAGUCUUGACAGGAUCUGCGAAGAGCUGAAGCUGGCACCAGACGUCGCGGGCGCAACGUUCAUGGCGGCGGGCAGUUCUGCGCCGGAGUUGGCUACCGUCAUCAUCGGCGUCUUCUGUGCGCAGGAUGACAUAGGUGUGUCUGGCGUGAUCGGCUCAGCGGUGUUCAACAUAAUGUUCGUGAUCUCCGUGUGCGCGCUGUGUGCGGGCACCGUGUCACACCUCAACUGGUGGCCGUUGUGCCGCGACUGCUUCUUCUACGCCCUCUCUAUCCUCGUCAUGCUGUGCACCAUAUGCAAUGGAUACGUCUCCUGGCCGGAAGCAUUGUUCAUGCUGAUAAUGUAUGGGGUUUACUGCAUCGCUCUGCGGUUCAACACCGCACUGGAGCGUUGGGCCAUGACCAUCAAACUGCCCUUCAAGCUGCCCACACGGGAAGAGCAGGCUGCCUUAGUCACAUACAAGAGCGCGCAGGCGCAACCAGCCGCUGCCGCGGGCGACGCGCAGUACACCGAGGUGGAGGGACAGACCAAGGAGACUGCGUUACAGAAUCCGCCGUACAACCCGGACGGCGCGUACGACAAUGCGGCGUACAACGCGGGCCCCACUAACGCUUGGGACCCCAACAGCAGCUGGGACCCUAACAACGCCUGGGGCGAGCAAACGAACACCGCGGCACAGGCGCCGGCGGCGAUCGGCUGGGGCCUGCCGCCCGAGCCCACGGCACCCGCGCAGGCCCCGCGCCCAGCACUGUCCGCCGGCAGCACGCCUGGUGACGCCCCGCAGCCGCAGCCGCAGCCACAGGCCCCAGUGGUACCAACCUACUACAAAGCAAAGGAAUACAACCCGGAGACAGCUGUCAACCCCCUCAUCAAACCUGCCAAUGCGAAUCCUCUGCAGCUAGCGUUCUGGUACGUAGCGUAUCCCAUCCACUGGUCCUGCCGCCACACCAUGCCUGACUGCCGCGGGCCCUGGUACCCUGUCACGUUCCUCGUCUCCAUGUUGUGGAUCUCAUUCUACUCAUACUUCAUGGUCUGGAUGAUUACUAUCAUUGGUUUCACCCUGGGUAUCCCGGACACGGUGAUGGGUCUAACGUUCGUGGCUGCUGGCGUAUCUGUCCCGGAUGCGCUCUCAUCACUCGCCGUCAUCAAGGAAGGAUACGGUGAUAUGGCGGUGUCCAACGCGGUGGGGUCCAACGUGUUCGACAUCCUGGUGUGCCUGGGGCUCCCCUGGUUCAUACAGACGGCCAUCAUCCAGCCAGGCAGCCACGUCAACGUCAUCAGCAAAGGUCUGGUCUACUCGACCCUGUCGCUGUUCUCGACGGUGAUAUUCCUGGUGGUGGCGACCCACGCCAACGGCUGGAAGCUCGACCGCAAGUACGGCGCUGUGCUGAUGGUGUGGUACCUUCUCUUCAUCACCUUCGCCAGUCUGUAUGAGCUGAACGUCUUCGGAGACUUCCACCCACCUGAUUGCGGCUCCACCUACUAAAAACGCUCGAAUUUUCUGGAAAAACGUACCUACUUUGUUGGUAAAAAAGAGUGGUACAGCUAAUUUAUUUUAAAAAAUCCCCCCCUCAUCUCAGUCUGAUAGCGCUUAAAACCGCGCAGAUAUUUUAUUAAAACCAAUACCAAACUAAGACUUAAAUACCCUUUUUAUUAUUGUAUAUUAAUUAUUCAAUAAAUCGAAAUGCGACGAGUCAGUUCUGUAGCUGUUAGCUCUACUAAUUGUAAAGUAAAUUAACAUUUAAUUUGUCGUACAUAGCUUUCAGUAAUCCGGGAUUAAAAAGAACACAUCGAAGCAAUUCAUCUACAAGAGAAAUAUUGAAAUUUGACAUUUGCGCAUAUAAAAGUAAGUGCGCAACGCAAACAUAUGUCAAAUAGCAAUAUUGCUUUUUAGAUGAAUUGCUUUAAUCCCACCUUUGCCUUUUUAACCCCACAGUACUCAUUAACGGCCUAUUUAAAUGUAGUAUUAUAAUCGAAUAUUUACAACACAAAUUGGUGAGUCUGCUAAUCCAAUUUCUAUGCCAUUUGCUCUCUCUAAAAUGUCGGAAAUUACACCACAAAUGCUAGGAGUCUCGAAUUUUGCAUGGAAUUCCACUUUAUCGACCCAGGUGUCCACCUAAAAUUCGUAAUAAAUUUUUAUAUUAUAACGUGAAUCAACGUGGAGUGUAUCCCUUCUGUAGGAUGAGUUACGAAAUAGAAAGGCAUCAGUUGGAAAAAGUAGAUUGAUUGAAAAUAAGUUUUUAUAAGUUUUCUUCUUUCCGAUCUUUAUGAAAUAAAUAUAAGUAAAACUAUGAUUUUGCAGUUAAACGCUCUGCGCAAAUGGUUAUAGUGUAAAAAUAUAACCAAAACAGUAUGUUUGUUUACUCAAAUGAUACAGGGAACUGUCAAAAUUUAAGAACACUCACACAGUAGGAACACCUGGGGGGUUAAUAAGGCCACAUUGAAGCAAUUCAUCUAAAACAGCAAUAUUGCAAUUUGACAUUUGCGCAUAUAAAAGUAAGUGCGCAAUGCACACAAAUGUCAAAUAGCAAUAUUGCUUUUUUAGAUGAAUUGCUUCGAUGCGGGCUUUUUAACCCCUUUGAUGGGAAAAACAGGCGGGUUGUAUCCUCAUUGUAAAAGCAGAUUCACCAAAAUAUUUAUAUAAAUAUUUAAGUUUUCUACUAUGCUAUAGUCUUAUGAUUAAAAAAAACAUCGAUGUUGCUAGUUUCUACUUUUACAUAAAGUUACAUACAAGAUUACAUGUCAAAAUUGUGUGAAAACGAAAUAGGAUCGAAAAUAUAAUUUUUUGAAACAAUUUUAUUUCAUCAGUAUUUUUUUUUUACUAUUACACAUAGGAAAAAUGUAGUUUUUACAUUGUUAUUAAUUAUUUGGCAAUGUAAUACAAAGUUGUAUUCAACAGUUUGUACGCGCUUUCACACCGCCCGCAUUGAACGCUAAGACAUUUGCGCCACGUAUCACAUUGAUGAAUACAUUUUUGUACUCAUCUGUUUUUGAAGGUCUGUAACCCAGUGUCUGGAAGAGAAAUGCAGUAAGAGCAGUCCAGUUAUAAAAUGAACGCAUACUGACAUAAAAAUGCUAUAAAAAAUUCUGUAAUUACUUUGUCAUAAUUGCAAUAUACCCAGAGCUAGCACGCACAAAAUUCAGUCAGUUUUCACUCAAUUUUGCGUUUAAUUCAGUAAAUAAUAAAAAUCACAGCUACGGUUCAGUGGUGUUACUCAUCUUAUGAAUAUUUAAUAGAUUUUAGUGGCACUUAUAAAUAAUUUCAAAUAGCUGCAGGUAAGUAAAUAUGUCCAGAAAAUGUAUGUUGCUGUAUUCAUGAAAAUAUUUUACUUCAGGUUGUUGUAAUGUGUACCUAAAAAGCUUUGCAUUAUGUAUAGUUCUUGUUUAGUUGUUUGAUGUGAUAUUGUACUAGGUAUAGCUUGCUCGAGUCUUUAAGACGUAAAAUACUCAUUUUUAAAAUGAUCUCGAUCUUUUAGAAUGUACAUAAGUAAGGUCUUAAGCACUAACCUAUCCUAUAGACGAAUUUUGAAUACCCGUAAAGAGACAAAACAUCGAGAAUAUGACGAAUUACCUAAAUUAAUACAUAGUAGUUUUCAGGAGGUUAAAAAGGCUACAUUGAAGCAAUUCAUCUAAAAACAUAUUGGUAUUUUAGAUGAAUUGCUUCCAUGUGGUCUUUUUAACCUCCAGUACGAGGAUAUAGUAUAAAUUAAAUAGAAUUUACACUUUUUUGCUACGGAUACGCAUGUAGAAAGAGUUGGUAAUUAUAAAUUGACAUUAUUUUUGAAUCAUAUCAAGGAGCAAUUUUAGAGCGAUGAAGAGUUUCGCGAAUUCGUUGCCGCUAUAUACUCCAACAUAGAUUGUUUCACGGCCUGUUUUGCCCUUUGGGUUCGAAGGUCGUUUUGGUAGCCGCUUCUGUAAAAACAGUUGCCUGUCGAUUAACAAAUACUUUAGGCUAGAUACCUAAGAUAUAAAAUCGCUUUUUUGUAAUGAAUCUUAGUUAAAUUCUAACGAAACAAUUGACCAGUUACCCGAUCUUCCAAAGUUAUACCAUGUGAACCUUAUUAGAGUAACCAACGAUAUCUAUAAAGUCCUUCCUAUAAAAAAAAAAUAUAACCGCAAUCGCUGUACCGUGCCUAGAGUAACAGGCGACAGACUAGAGAUUUCAAUCCCAAGACUUUUCUUAUCCCAGAAUCCCCGAACUUUUUCUCAAUCUCGGGAUUCCGAUGUUUGGGAUCUCUAAGAUUGGUGUACCAGGGAAAUAAAACAAAGCAUGACUUCUAAUAAUGUCCCAGUCAAACAGAGACGCAAAUGUGAAGAAUGGUAGUCAGAGGUACGAUCGGGCAUCCCCACGAGCCCACGAAUGCGUUCAGCUGCUUAUAUCUUAUUUUAUAGAUUUUGUCCUUUCCAGCAUGAUAGGUGAUUGUCUAGUCACCUGUUACCAUAAUAUGGUUCAUCAUAUCCACCUUAAGACUUCAUAUAUUAAUUUAUUAAAAUUGGCUAUGACCUUAUUAUUUAUUCGUAGGCUAUGAGUUAUUUUCUGAUCGCUUGUGGGCCCGCCCGGUAUGUAUGUAUGCUUUAGACAGAGAGAUACAGAGUGGAGGGGGCAACUCGGCCGCCUUGUCUCGAUAUACACCUACCUAAGGCGCGGUGCAGCAUGAUUGACGAAUUAUCAUAUUAAUAAUAAGUGUUUCCCAAAAACAACCCUAUACCUCCUAUCCCAAACUUUUUCUUCCCACAUUAUUUUUUAUUAAUACUAAUCCCAUUCCAAUUCUGUGAUCUAUGUAGCUAAAUAAAUUUAUAGGUAGGUAAAACAUACGUAUUGUAAUAUUAUUAUAAUUAUUAUUAAAUAAACACUACGCUGUGCCUAUUUUGCAUUCUGCCUAUAAUGUGAAAAUCGUUUUAUGUGAAGUCUUAUUUGUAUUAGAAAUAGGUUCAGCGUGGUAGAAUAAAUACCUACCAUGGUAGAAUAUAACGAUGUAUGCUCGCUCUAUCUCGACAAAUAACUUGAGUUGGAAAGAGUCGGUAAGUAAUAAUAGUUCCUUUAUAGUCGUCAUAUCUAAGAUGCCUAUUACACUGACAUUUUUAAGCGUGCGGAUUUCCGGUAAGCGAGAAAGUGUACAUUAAAAUCGUCGGAAAACGCAAAGCAAGCUUGUUACAAAAAUUUAACCCGUAAGUCAAAGUGUUAAGGGCCGGGCUGUAUUGUGAGAAAAUAAAAAUAAAUACCUUGUUACGUUUUACCAUGGAAAAAUUACACUUUUAGUGAUGGUUGCUAGGUCGCUGUGAGGUUGUUUACUGACCAGCUUAGCUAGCUAAACAUUAUCACGGAUGAGAGAACACAUUAUAAAAUCUUUUGAUAAAUAUCAUAGAAAGAGAUUUUAGAUUGAAAUGAAUAACGGUACAUUUUCAAAUGAGAUUCAACUACUCUUGAGUCAUGUAAAACUCAAGUUGAGUCGAAUAUUCUAAAAACAAACGAAUCAAAAAAGCGGCGUUCACUGUGUUCUUGUGAAAAGAACUAUAAAAUCACUAUAUGAAGAGAAAACUAAGAAAAAGAAAAAUUUAAAAGCAUUUUUGAGCUUUGUAAUCGCUCAAGUAACGGUCGCUAACUUAAUUAACCAAAAUAAAUUCAAAAGUUUGAUCACUAAGAUAUGAAUUGGCUUAUAAAUUACAAUUAUUUAGUGUCAAUUAGAUAUGGCUAACAUGACAUAAGAUGUGCAAAGCAGAAAUAUAAAAAUAGAAAAAUAUCCCAUUAAAUGAUUUAUUUAAAAAAAAAAUGUUUAUCACGCCUUGAUGUUUUUUCAUAACUAUUAUAAGUUACGUAGUCUUAACAGCGUCAAUUAAAAUCUAUAAUUGUAUAAAAAUAAAUAUGUCUACUAAGCAUUAUUACGACAAUAACUUUGUAUGUUGCGUUUGAAGUCGACCUCUAACUGCCAAAUGUCAACUGUUGCGAAAAUACACAAAUUGAUAUAAUUUAUCUUCCAACAUCCAAAAAGCGUAUAAUAUGAAAGAUUAUCCGUUUUUAUAAUAUUAUUUAUAACUACCUCAUUAUUUUAAAAAGGUCACAAAACUAUAAAUGUUUAUCUUGUGCGAUAUCAUUAUGAUUAAUACUAAUUUAAAUAUUCCACUGCUACUAUUGCAAUACUUUGCAACAAAGAACAAAUGCACGAGACAUGUUGAAAAUUAGCUUCGAAAUUGUACAUUAUUUGUAUCUACGUAGACUUAAUGUAGCAGGCAUGUGCUUACCUACACGAAUCAAUUAAUAAGGUCAAUUGAAUAAUUCAAUUAAACAUUAAAACGAGACUAAAAUGUACUUAAAAGAUCUCAAGAUCUUUAAAAGAACCAACGAUUUGUUAAAAAUGAAAUUGGAGCCAAUUAAUUACAACGUAAUUAUUGAUGAUGUAACUAAUAUAAAGAGGUAUUCUCUUAUUUGUGUGUUUAUUAACGAAAGUAAGACUACACAAUUAAAGAUAAGUGUGUAUGACUUUUCUCUCUUUAAAAACGCGGCGCUUAAAAAUGGUCGUGUGAAAGCGUUAAAGACACAAGCGUUUUAAAGACACGAAUAGAGAAUAUCUCAUUUUUGUUCAAGCGUGGUGUAUCUUAAACAUUCCUGCUUUAAUCGAACGCGCAUAAUAUAUCUAUGGUUGUAACAACAGCCUAAUUUGACUAAUGUAAAUAGUAGUGGACCAUACUAACCAUUAAUUAGAUGUAAGUUUUAAAACACUUCUUUUUUCUUUUUUUAUUAUGUUCAUAUUGUUUAAUUUUUUAAGCUACUUCAAAAAUAGAUUACUUAAAAAUAAUUAGUUAGUUUUGCCUAGUAUUUAUUAGAUCAGCGGGCCUACCACCGAUAGCAUGCGACUUUUUCUCGCCGCCAGAGAGUUCAUCUGUCUCUUUCUGUACAGUACUGUGAGAGAGUGACGGGUGACGUAUGUCGAGGCGAGAAAGAGUUGCACGCUUACGGUGCUAAGCCCGCUGAUGUUGACUUGAAGUUGUGUAUUUGUAAAACUUAAUAAUGUGAUACUGAUUUAUAAAAAUAUCAAUGAAAAAAAUAUCUUUAAUUCUUAAAAUGCUUUGGGCUCAAGAUAACUUUGCUAUCAAAAUAGAUAUUGAAAUAGAUUUGCACUUUAAAACUAAGUAAUGCGGAAAAGUCAUAUUGCUAUAAAAUGUUAUUUUUACCAUAAUCAGAACAAAAAGAAUUAAGUAUAAAUGUUUGGGAAAGUAAUACAGCUAUUUUGCUUCAUCUCUUUAGCAUUUACGAUAGCUACGUGCUAGAUUAUAUUAUACAAUCAGCGUGUUAGUGACACAGUAACGAAAAAAAAGAACGCCUGUUUGAUUGUACUUACUAAAAACGAAGUGUUUUUCUUGUCAGAAAUAUUUAAUUAAUAUUUUGUAUUUUUGCCGCGCUACAUCGCUAGACUACGUAUAUGUACGUAGCGACUAUUCGUCUUGUUCGAUUAACAUUGAUGGUUUUUAAUCAUUUCACAUUUAUUUAUUUUCUUUUAAAUUUGAAUUCUAUGCAGCUUGAAUUAAAGCACAAAAUGGGACUGAAAAUAAUUUAAAAGGUAGUAAAAUUUUCAUUAAUUUUCCGACAGGAAAUUCGUCUUCGAAAAGUUUUCGUUACAAUGUCACUAACUGCCUGUAUAAUUAUAGUGUCGAUUCAGACAGAUACAAACUUAGCCUGAUCUUACUUAGAUAGUAGUAAAAGUAGUAGUGAUAUCCUUCUCUAACGAUAAAUGCAAAGAAGAGACAGGGAUAUCUGUUACUGGAACUGUCAAACUAAAUUGACAUGUGUAAAACUAACUCUGUCUCUUUCUAGCGUUUAUCGUUAGAGAAGGUUAGCAUUAUUUUUAUAACUGUCAAAUUAAGAUUAAGUUUGUGUCCGCCAGGUUCGGCGUCAUUAUGUACCUUAUUCUAAGUAAAUUAUUAUCUUUUCACCUGUUAAUCCUAUAUCAAAUGUCUAAUUCGUGUGUAAAAAUUAUAGUUACCUAAAUAUUCAAUGUUGAUUUGUAUUUAUAUCCUUGUAGCGUAAGACGUAUCAUUUAAAUUUUAACGUUUUAAAUUAAAUGUUAUAAUUUCAUAACUUACAUCUUAUACUAGCAUUAUCUGUGUGACGUGUAAACACGUUCUGUAAGUCUAGCACACUACGUCGAGAAACGAGUACAGAUACAAAACUUUAAAUGAAAAGAUAUGGUUAUUAUAAAAGUUUUGAAAAUAGGGGAGAGUACAAACAGGAAACCCCUAAAGCACACAUAUGUGUAUGUGUACUUUACGAAUGAUUCAUAGUCAAAACAUUACGUUCGCCGCCAUUCUGACACACGCUUGCCAUUUUUACCCUCGUCUCUCGACGAUCUGUCUCAGAACGUGUAAAAACGUUGUACCCGAUAUGUAAGCAUAACUUUUCAUUAUAGUUUAAAGCUGAAAAGAGUGAAAAAAUCAUCUAAAAGUACUUAUUUCCUUUUAUAACAUAUAAGCUCACGACUAUAAUUAGGGCAGUCCAAAGGUGAAUCCUCUGCAAGAUGAACUAAGCAACCCACGCACUCUUCAUCAAGUAUUCUGUUAGACCAACGUGAGAAAUGGUGAGCCGUAUCACCGUCUAUAAUUGUCGAGCCAACUGUAUCAGAAAAAACUGCACUUAAGGUAUAUAAAUAUAAUAACCCUAUUCGUAAACUACUAAAUAGAUUUGUACGCGGUUUUCUCUGUUACGAUUUACAUUUUUAAAUAUACUAUAGGGUAAUAAUUGUACCCAAUGAAGCCGGGGUGAUGUGCUAAUAUUUCUACUCUUUUCAGUCGAAACUAUCGAAAUUAUAACACCCCAAGUCUAAGAUGUUCUCUCGACUCGUCCACUACUCCACUGAACAUUUUGGUAUUUUCAGUUGCGUCCUCGACUUGAAGACUUCACUCAUUGGAGUCGAGCAUAUCACACUACCAACAUAAUAAUAAAAAAUUGACGUCAUGCCUUUCUGGAGUAAACUCGCCCCGAUACCGACCCCGCCGGCGUGGUCGACUUCCCUCAAUCAGCGCUUAUCGCUAUCGACCCACUAGGGUUGAUUAUUUCAAUUAUUUUUUUAUCUCAGAUGACGCCCUGAGCCGAGGUUCGCGCCCAACUGAGCACCCUCAGGCCUGUUGUCUUCAACGUUGUACCGGGUGAGAGCCUUCAGCGCUCCCCAUUUGUCCGGCCAAGUAGUUAAUGCCAUCUGCGGCAAAUCU
Molecule: unclassified non-coding RNA, 10103 nt
Filed under: Pectinophora gossypiella (pink bollworm)
Lineage: Eukaryota; Metazoa; Arthropoda; Insecta; Lepidoptera; Gelechiidae
Description: probable sodium/potassium/calcium exchanger CG1090
Source: RNAcentral